RNAcentral lists this ribosomal RNA (434 nucleotides) under uncultured bacterium. Its description in RNAcentral is "partial 16S ribosomal RNA". It matches the Rfam family "Bacterial small subunit ribosomal RNA", at positions 29 to 507 of the family's 1533-position model. The record is from RNAcentral.
AGCGAACGCUGGCGGCAGGCCUAACACAUGCAAGUCGAACGAACCUUUCGGGGUUAGUGGCGGACGGGUGAGUAACACGUGGGAACGUGCCUUUAGGUUCGGAAUAACUCAGGGACACUUGUGCUAAUACCGAAUGUGCCCUUCGGGGGAAAUAUUAAUCGCCUUUAGAGCGGCCCGCGUCUGAUUAGCUAGUUGGGUGAGGUAAUGGCUCACCAAGGCGACGAUCAGUAGCUGGUCUGAGAGGAUGAUCAGACACAUUGGGACUGAGACACGGCCCAAACUCCUACGGGAAGCAGCAGUGGGGAAUCUUGCGCAAUGGGCGAAAGCCUGACGCAGCCAUGCCGCGUGAAUGAUGAAGGUCUUAGGAUUGUAAAAUUCUUUCACCGGGGACGAUAAUGACGGUACCCGGAGAAGAAGCCCCGGCUAACUUCGUG